This 486-nucleotide ribosomal RNA is filed under the name uncultured bacterium. Its description in RNAcentral is "partial 16S ribosomal RNA". It matches the Rfam family "Bacterial small subunit ribosomal RNA", at positions 30 to 507 of the family's 1533-position model. The record is from RNAcentral.
AUUGAACGCUGGCGGCAUGCCUUACACAUGCAAGUCGAACGGCAGCACGGGUGCUUGCCCCUGGUGGCGAGUGGCGAACGGGUGAGUAAUACAUCGGAACAUGUCCUGUAGUGGGGGAUAGCCCGGCGAAAGCCGGAUUAAUACCGCAUACGAUCCACGGAUGAAAGCGGGGGACCUUCGGGCCUCGCGCUAUAGGGUUGGCCGAUGGCUGAUUAGCUAGUUGGUGGGGUAAAGGCCUACCAAGGCGACGAUCAGUAGCUGGUCUGAGAGGACGACCAGCCACACUGGGACUGGGACACGGCCCAGACUCCUACGGGAGGCAGCAGUGGGGAAUUUUGGACAAUGGGCGAAAGCCUGAUCCAGCAAUGCCGCGUGUGUGAAGAAGGCCUUCGGGUUGUAAAGCACUUUUGUCCGGAAAGAAAUCCUUGGCUCUAAUACAGUCGGGGGAUGACGGUACCGGAAGAAUAAGCACCGGCUAACUACGUG